Molecule: ribosomal RNA, 253 nt
Filed under: uncultured bacterium
Lineage: Bacteria
Description: partial 16S ribosomal RNA
Rfam family: Bacterial small subunit ribosomal RNA
Source: RNAcentral
UACGAAGGGGGCUAGCGUUGUUCGGAAUUACUGGGCGUAAAGCGCGUGUAGGCGGCCCGGUAAGUCCGCUGUGAAAGUCGGGGGCUCAACCCUCGGAUGCCGGUGGAUACUGUCGGGCUUGAGUACGGAAGAGGCGAGUGGAAUUCCUGGUGUAGCGGUGAAAUGCGCAGAUAUCAGGAGGAACACCAAUUGCGAAGGCAGCUCGCUGGGACGUAACUGACGCUGAGACGCGAAAGCGUGGGGAGCAAACAGG